Leptidea sinapis is the source of this 399-nucleotide long non-coding RNA. RefSeq lists it as uncharacterized. The transcript has 3 exons. The record is from RefSeq and is a predicted model, not a curated record. Lineage: Eukaryota; Metazoa; Arthropoda; Insecta; Lepidoptera; Pieridae.
UUUUUUUUUUAAUUGUGAGGAUUAAUAAUGAGAAUUUGAUAAGAAAUAUUUUACAAAAAAAUAGGAUUUAAUUGUAGUUCUUAGCAUGGUAUUGAAAAAAUGUGGUCGUUUUAGGUGAAGGAAAGUAUUUGCUGUAUUAUAGUUGUUUUGUGUGCUGGCUUUCACUCAAACAAACCCAGCUCCAUCCAGAAAUUCAGAACCAUCGCAGAUGAUUACAGACCUCGCUGAGUGACCACAUAUUUUCCAAGAUAUAUAGAACCCCCGGAGGAGUUUGGGUGUUCAUGUUAGCUGAGGAGGGUCAAACCAGAGACCGCGGACAAUAAAAGAAACAAUGAAAAAAUGCUCACUGUUACACUUACCCCAUUGGUGGGGGAAGUGUGUCAGCCUUCAUUCGUUUAA